AGUGAACGCUGGCGGCAGGCCUAACACAUGCAAGUCGAACGGCAGCACAGUAAGAGCUUGCUCUUACGGGUGGCGAGUGGCGGACGGGUGAGGAAUACAUCGGAAUCUACUUUUUCGUGGGGGAUAACGUAGGGAAACUUACGCUAAUACCGCAUACGACCUACGGGAGAAAGCAGGGGAUCUUCGGACCUUGCGCGAUUCAAUGAGCCGAUGUCGGAUUAGCUAGUUGGCGUGGUAAAGUCUCACCAAGGCGACGAUCCGUAGCUGGUCUGAGAGGAUGAUCAGCCACACUGGAACUGAGACACGGUCCAGACUCCUACGGGAGGCAGCAGUGGGGAAUAUUGGACAAUGGGCGCAAGCCUGAUCCAGCCAUGCCGCGUGAGUGAAGAAGGCCUUCGGGUUGUAAAGCCCUUUUGUUGGGAAAGAAAAGCAGCAGGUUAAUACCCCGCUGUUCUGACGGUACCCAAAGAAUAAGCACCGGCUAACUUCGUG
RNAcentral lists this ribosomal RNA (492 nucleotides) under uncultured bacterium. Its description in RNAcentral is "partial 16S ribosomal RNA". It matches the Rfam family "Bacterial small subunit ribosomal RNA", at positions 29 to 507 of the family's 1533-position model. The record is from RNAcentral.